This 618-nucleotide ribosomal RNA is filed under the name uncultured bacterium. RNAcentral describes it as "bacterial SSU rRNA". It matches the Rfam family "Bacterial small subunit ribosomal RNA", at positions 166 to 798 of the family's 1533-position model. The record is from RNAcentral.
AUACCGCAUAAGCGCACGAGGAGACAUCUCCUUGUGUGAAAAAACUUCGGUGGUACAGGAUGGGCCCGCGUCUGAUUAGCUGGUUGGCAGGGUAACGGCCUACCAAGGCAACGAUCAGUAGCCGGUCUGAGAGGAUGAACGGCCACAUUGGAACUGAGACACGGUCCAAACUCCUACGGGAGGCAGCAGUGGGGAAUAUUGCACAAUGGGGGAAAACCCUGAUGCAGCAACGCCGCGUGAGUGAAGAAGUAUUUCGGUAUGUAAAGCUCUAUCAGCAGGGAAGAUAAUGACGGUACCUGACUAAGAAGCUCCGGCUAAAUACGUGCCAGCAGCCGCGGUAAUACGUAUGGAGCAAGCGUUAUCCGGAUUUACUGGGUGUAAAGGGUGCGUAGGUGGCAGUGCAAGUCAGAUGUGAAAAGGCCGGGGCUCAACCCCGGAGCUGCAUUUGAAACUGCAUAGCUAGAGUACAGGAGAGGCAGGCGGAAUUCCUAGUGUAGCGGUGAAAUGCGUAGAUAUUAGGAGGAACACCAGUGGCGAAAGGCGGCCUGCUGGACUGUUACUGACACUGAGGCACGAAAGCGUGGGGAGCAAACAGGAUUAGAUACCCUGGUAGUCCAC